Molecule: ribosomal RNA, 526 nt
Filed under: uncultured bacterium
Lineage: Bacteria
Description: partial 16S ribosomal RNA
Rfam family: Bacterial small subunit ribosomal RNA
Source: RNAcentral
UGGGGAAUUUUGGACAAUGGGGGAAACCCUGAUCCAGCCAUCCCGCGUGUGCGAUGAAGGCCUUCGGGUUGUAAAGCACUUUUGGCAGGAAAGAAACGUCGCGGGUUAAUACCCCGCGAAACUGACGGUACCUGCAGAAUAAGCACCGGCUAACUACGUGCCAGCAGCCGCGGUAAUACGUAGGGUGCAAGCGUUAAUCGGAAUUACUGGGCGUAAAGCGUGCGCAGGCGGUUCGGAAAGAAAGAUGUGAAAUCCCAGAGCUUAACUUUGGAACUGCAUUUUUAACUACCGGGCUAGAGUGUGUCAGAGGGAGGUGGAAUUCCGCGUGUAGCAGUGAAAUGCGUAGAUAUGCGGAGGAACACCGAUGGCGAAGGCAGCCUCCUGGGAUAACACUGACGCUCAUGCACGAAAGCGUGGGGGAGCAAAACAGGAUUAGAUACCCUGGGUAGUCCACGCCCUAAAACGAUGUCAACUAGCUGUUGGGGCCUUCGGGCCUUGGUAGGCCGCAGGCUAACGCGUGAAGUUG